This 253-nucleotide ribosomal RNA is filed under the name uncultured bacterium. RNAcentral describes it as "partial 16S ribosomal RNA". It matches the Rfam family "Bacterial small subunit ribosomal RNA", at positions 524 to 776 of the family's 1533-position model. The record is from RNAcentral.
UACAGAGGUCCCAAGCGUUGUUCGGAUUCAUUGGGCGUAAAGGGUGCGUAGGCGGUGAUGUAAGUUGGAUGUGAAAUCCCGGGGCUCAACCCCGGAAUUGCCUUUAAGACUGCAUCGCUUGAAUCCGGGAGAGGUGAGUGGAAUUCCGAGUGUAGAGGUGAAAUUCGUAGAUAUUCGGAAGAACACCAGUGGCGAAGGCGGCUCACUGGACCGGUAUUGACGCUGAGGUGCGAAAGCGUGGGGAGCAAACAGG